This is a long non-coding RNA of Brachypodium distachyon (stiff brome), 884 nucleotides long. RefSeq lists it as uncharacterized. The record is from RefSeq and is a predicted model, not a curated record. Lineage: Eukaryota; Viridiplantae; Streptophyta; Magnoliopsida; Poales; Poaceae. The transcript has 2 exons.
UCCGAAAGCACGCGCCGCCCAGGCUCCAGCCUGAGCGAGCGUUACCGCUGGCCUCGCUCGGCUGACCUGACGUAACGCCGCUGCUGAGGUGUCCCGGUGGCUGCGACAUGUGUCCACCAGUGGCAGUGGGACGUACGUCGGCGGAGACCUCUUCUUCCUGGUUAUCCCCUCCUCGUACCUCGUGAGGCGCAAGACAACUGUACUAGUCCUGCACAAACCCCCGCGGCGACCAGGGUCAGAGCAAGAACAGUAGAUCGAACAACGCGUCUGCCCAUACUCCAGCAAUGGCGGCGUGACGGCGUCCCCCUCACUCCUCGGCUGACAAUCCUCCUCUGGUCAGCUUGGUGGCUCUUUCCAGCAUGCGUGAUCUCAUGGUGAUAAUGCGGCGGUGGCCUGGCGUAGCGUCGUCCCUUCACCGACAAGCGGCGACUCGUCUCAUGAAGCGGACUACCAAUCGAUCCCAAUCCUUGAUAUGGGGCCACUUGGUGCAUGUUUGCAAGGAGUUACGGUGGUGUCCUGCUAUGGCGUUCUUUGGAGGACACCCUAGUGGUUUCGUACAAAGUACUGGUGGUGCAGCUCUCGGAAGCUAGAUUCGUGGUCAAGAUGAUGACUAGAAUACUGCUACUUUAUCGGUGCUAGCGCACGCUCUGGCCUUUACUGGUCAAAUCCAGCAACGACUUGCGUGGUGUCGUCGUCAUGCCAAUGUUUUUCAUUGGUUGGAUGCGGCAUCCAGAAUGAAGAUCCUCUUGUCUUCACCGACACAUACCGGACAUUUGCAAUGUCGGUGCCAGUGAGUUUAAUUGUCAUAUCUUUUGAUCUGUCAUUUCUAUCUCUUUCAUGUACUCAGUUGUUGGUUAUUUGGUAGUAUUGUUGUUUUGUAUCAA